RNAcentral lists this long non-coding RNA (481 nucleotides) under Homo sapiens (human). RNAcentral's name for it is "HSALNT0327570". Lineage: Eukaryota; Metazoa; Chordata; Mammalia; Primates; Hominidae. The record is from RNAcentral.
GGACAGGUGGCUUUAUAAGAAGAGGAAAAGAGACCUGAGUUAGCACACUCAAACUCCUCACCAUGCGAUGCUCUGUGCCUCCUUGGGACUCUGCAGAGAGUCCCUACCAAUAAGAAGGCUCUCACCAGAUGUGGCCCCUCAACUUUGGACUGCUUAGCUUCCGUAACUAGGAGAUCUCUGAAGAAAUUGCUGAUGAAAGUCCAACAGGCUCUUCCAGUUUGUCUGGUCGGUCACAUUUGCUGAAACCUGGAGGAAUUGUUAGUGGAAGCUCAACAGGCCUGACUCAGUCUGACUGUCCAUUCUUCUGGAAGCUGCAGAGAAAAGAAACCUGGAAACCUUAUAUGCUGACAAAAAGGGACACAAUUGGAUAUGAUGGUUAUUUUACCAAGGUUUUGAAAUGUCGUGCUUUCAAAUAUAAACAGACUGCUUUAAGGAAUCGAAGUUGACUUAUAGAGCCAAUAAAAGCCCUGCAGGAAAGCUG